This is a long non-coding RNA of Aedes aegypti (yellow fever mosquito), 614 nucleotides long. RefSeq lists it as uncharacterized. The transcript has 2 exons. The record is from RefSeq and is a predicted model, not a curated record. NCBI's taxonomy places the organism in Eukaryota, Metazoa, Arthropoda, Insecta, Diptera, Culicidae.
UGCUUGCCAAUUUUCAUUAUAUUGGCGAAGCUGUCAUAUGUUUUGUUUUCAAAAAGUGAAAAUUAAAAGAAUUCAUGGCUUUAUCACGGAUUAGUGUCGGUGUUUUCAUUUUUCGUGAAGUUAUUCAGCUGCAAAUGUACAUUUACCUGUAGUGCAAUUUCAUCGGACGCGAAGUCUUCAUGAACAAAACAUUAUGUGGCAACAGCACAAAACUAAAAGUCAGAAAAUGCACGCGGAACUAGAGGAAUCCGAAAAGGAAAUGGACUUUGUGCGUAGUACCAAACCAUAGUGAAACAAUUUUAAAGCUGAAGUGCUGGACUUAAGAUCCGGAUUGAAUGUAAUCAAUUCCACCCACAAAACGAUGGCAUUCUUGUCUUGAUGAAGUAACCAAAUGUUUGAAGAAUCAAUGCGUUUUUUCGGAAAAGCUGAUGCGACGAUGAUAUGCUUUAUUCCGCAAAAUCCACUUUACUGCCCUAAAUCAACUAUGGUAAAUAUGCGCUAUACUGAGAUGUUAAAUAAUACAGAUAUUCAACGACGUCAGCUGAUCCGCCAUUCUGCAGCCGGGGCAACAUUUGAGAGAAAGAUCCACUUGAAAGAAUAAAUAAUGAUCCAAG